CAUAUACUCCCUCCGUCCGGAAAUACUUGUCGAAGAAAUAAAUGUAUCUAGACAUAUUUUAGGUCUAGAUACAUCCAUUUUUACCCAUUUCCACGACAAGUAAUUCCGGACAGAGGGAGUAGUAU
Non-coding RNA from Triticum aestivum (bread wheat), 125 nucleotides. Lineage: Eukaryota; Viridiplantae; Streptophyta; Magnoliopsida; Poales; Poaceae. The record is from Rfam.